AUUUCCGGGGCUAAAACUUACUACCGAAGCUACGGCAUCAGUAAUGAUGGGUAGGGGAGCUUCCCAUACGGGUUGAAGCAGGACCGUAAGGACAUGUGGACAGUAUGGGAGUGAGAAUGUUGGCAUGAGUAGCGAGAUGUGGGUGAGAAUCCCACAGGCCGUAAACCCAAGGUUUCCAGGGGAAGGUUCGUCCGCCCUGGGUUAGUCG
This 208-nucleotide ribosomal RNA is filed under the name Clostridioides difficile. RNAcentral describes it as "partial 23S ribosomal RNA". It matches the Rfam family "Bacterial large subunit ribosomal RNA", at positions 1170 to 1386 of the family's 2925-position model. Lineage: Bacteria; Bacillati; Bacillota; Clostridia; Peptostreptococcales; Peptostreptococcaceae. The record is from RNAcentral.